This 330-nucleotide ribosomal RNA is filed under the name uncultured eukaryote. RNAcentral describes it as "partial 18S ribosomal RNA". It matches the Rfam family "Eukaryotic small subunit ribosomal RNA", at positions 1470 to 1796 of the family's 1831-position model. The record is from RNAcentral.
CCCUUAGAUGUUCUGGGCUGCACGCGCGCUACACUGAAGCGUUCAACGAGUAUUUCACCUUGCCCGGGAGGGUUGGGUAAUCUUUUUAAAACGCUUCGUGAUGGGGAUAGAUUAUUGCAAUUAUUAAUCUUCAACGAGGAAUUCCUAGUAAGCGCGAGUCAUCAGCUCGUGCUGAUUACGUCCCUGCCCUUUGUACACACCGCCCGUCGCACCUACCGAUUGAAUGGUCCGGUGAAUCUUUAGGACUGUGGCUGAGGCCUUGCCUUGUGCGGGUCUGGCCGUGGGAAUUUAGUUAAACCUUACCAUUUAGAGGAAGGUGAAGUCGUAACA